Molecule: ribosomal RNA, 493 nt
Filed under: uncultured bacterium
Lineage: Bacteria
Description: bacterial SSU rRNA
Rfam family: Bacterial small subunit ribosomal RNA
Source: RNAcentral
GACGAACGCUGGCGGCGCGCCUAACACAUGCAAGUCGAACGGGAUCUUUUAGGAGUGCUUGCACUCUUGGCUGAUCUAGUGGCGGACGGGUGAGUAACACGUGAGCAACCUGCCCUGGAGUGGGGGACAACAUCUGGAAACGGAUGCUAAUACCGCAUAACAUCAGAGGAUGGCAUCGUCUUCUGAUCAAAGGAGAAAUCCGCUCUGGGAUGGGCUCGCGCCCGAUUAGAUAGUUGGUGAGGUAAUGGCUCACCAAGUCGACGAUCGGUAGCCGGACUGAGAGGUUGAACGGCCACAUUGGGACUGAGACACGGCCCAGACUCCUACGGGAGGCAGCAGUGGGGGAUAUUGCACAAUGGGGGAAACCCUGAUGCAGCGACGCCGCGUGGGUGAAGACGGCCUUCGGGUUGUAAAGCCCUGUCUUCGGGGACGAUAAUGACGGUACCCGAGGAGGAAGCCACGGCUAAUUACGUGCCAGCCGCCGCAGUAAUAC